GACGAACGCUGGCGGCGGGCUUAACACAUGCAAGUCGAACGGAAAGGCCCUGCUUUUGUGGGGUGCUCGAGUGGCGAACGGGUGAGUAACACGUGAGUAACCUGCCCUUUACUUUGUGAUAACUUCAGGAAACUGGGGCUAAUACCGGAUAGGAGCUCCUGCUGCAUGGUGGGGGUUGGAAAGUUUCGGCGGUUGGGGAUGGACUGGCGGCUUAUCAGCUUGUUGGGGGGGUAGUGGCUUACCAAGGCUUUGACGGGUAGCCGGCCUGGGAGGGUGAACGGCCACCUUGGGACUGAGAUACGGAGCAGACUCCUACGGGAGGCAGCAGUGGGGAAUAUUGCACAAUGGGCGGAAGCCUGAUGCAGCAACGCCGCGUGCGGGAUGACGGCCUUCGGGUUGUAAACCGCUGUCGCCUGUGACGAAGCGUGAGUGACGGUAAUGGGUAAAGAAGCACCGGCUAACUACGUG
Molecule: ribosomal RNA, 468 nt
Filed under: uncultured bacterium
Lineage: Bacteria
Description: partial 16S ribosomal RNA
Rfam family: Bacterial small subunit ribosomal RNA
Source: RNAcentral